CCCUUAGAUGUUCUGGGCUGCACGCGCGCUACACUGAUACUUUCAGCGAGUCCACCACCUUGCCUGGGAGGGUGGGGUAACCUCUGGAAAGUGCAUCGUGAUGGGGAUCGAUUAUUGUAAUUAUUAAUCUUCAACGAGGAAUUCCUAGUAAGCAUGUGUCAUCAGCCCGUGCUGAUUACGUCCCUGCCCUUUGUACACACCGCCCGUCGCACCUACCGAUUGGACGGUCCGGCGAAGCCUCGGGAUUGUGGUUCUUGCCGCUUUAUUGUGGCGUGACCGCGAGAACUUGUCUAAACCUUAUCAUCUAGAGGAAGGUGAAGUCGUAACA
RNAcentral lists this ribosomal RNA (328 nucleotides) under uncultured eukaryote. RNAcentral describes it as "partial 18S ribosomal RNA". It matches the Rfam family "Eukaryotic small subunit ribosomal RNA", at positions 1470 to 1796 of the family's 1831-position model. The record is from RNAcentral.